AUUGAACGCUGGCGGCAUGCCUUACACAUGCAAGUCGAACGGCAGCGCGGGGCAACCUGGCGGCGAGUGGCGAACGGGUGAGUAAUAUAUCGGAACAUACCCUAGAGUGGGGGAUAACGUAGCGAAAGUUACGCUAAUACCGCAUACGAUCUGAGGAUGAAAGUGGGGGGAUCUUAGGACCUCAUGCUCAUGGAGUGGCCGAUAUCUGAUUAGCUAGUUGGUAGGGUAAAAGCCUACCAAGGCGACGAUCAGUAGCUGGUUUGAGAGAACGACCAGCCACACUGGAACUGAGACACGGUCCAGACUCCUACGGGAGGCAGCAGUGGGGAAUUUUGGACAAUGGGGGCAACCCUGAUCCAGCAAUGCCGCGUGAGUGAAGAAGGCC
This 385-nucleotide ribosomal RNA is filed under the name uncultured bacterium. Its description in RNAcentral is "bacterial SSU rRNA". It matches the Rfam family "Bacterial small subunit ribosomal RNA", at positions 30 to 416 of the family's 1533-position model. The record is from RNAcentral.